UGACCUGCCUUUGAGUGGGGGGAUAACGUCCCGAAAGGGACGCUAAUACCGCAUGACAUCCUGCCUUUGAAGAGGUGGAGAUCAAAGCUGGGGAUCGCAAGACCUAGCGCUUGAAGAGGGGCCCGCGUCCGAUUAGCUAGUUGGUGGGGUAAUGGCUCACCAAGGCGACGAUCGGUAGCCGGCCUGAGAGGGCGGACGGCCACACUGGGACUGAGACACGGCCCAG
Molecule: ribosomal RNA, 226 nt
Filed under: uncultured bacterium
Lineage: Bacteria
Description: partial 16S ribosomal RNA
Rfam family: Bacterial small subunit ribosomal RNA
Source: RNAcentral